RNAcentral lists this unclassified non-coding RNA (227 nucleotides) under uncultured bacterium. RNAcentral describes it as "contains 16S-23S intergenic spacer region". The record is from RNAcentral.
UCCGGUUUGUCACCGGCAGUCUCGCAUGAGUCCCCAACUGAAUGCUGGCAACAUGCGACGGGGGUUGCGCUCGUUGCGGGACUUAACCCAACAUCUCACGACACGAGCUGACGACAGCCAUGCAGCACCUGUGUAUCCUGGUAUUGCUACCUCGUCAGACUUUCAUCCUUCUACUAGAUACAUGUCAAGGCCAGGUAAGGUUCUUCGCGUUGCAUCGAAUUAAGCCA